UUACGGUGGAUGACUUAAGUCAAGGU
RNAcentral lists this non-coding RNA (26 nucleotides) under Mus musculus (house mouse). Lineage: Eukaryota; Metazoa; Chordata; Mammalia; Rodentia; Muridae. The record is from RNAcentral.